GUUCCUUGAACCGCAUGGUUCAAGGAUGAAAGACGGUUUCGGCUGUCACUUACAGAUGGACCCGCGGCGCAUUAGCUAGUUGGUGAGGUAACGGCUCACCAAGGCGACGAUGCGUAGCCGACCUGAGAGGGUGAUCGGCCACACUGGGACUGAGACACGGCCCAGACUCCUACGGGAGGCAGCAGUAGGGAAUCUUCCGCAAUGGACGAAAGUCUGACGGAGCAACGCCGCGUGAGUGAUGAAGGUUUUCGGAUCGUAAAGCUCUGUUGUUAGGGAAGAACAAGUGCAAGAGUAACUGCUUGCACCUUGACGGUACCUAACCAGAAAGCCACGGCUAACUACGUG
RNAcentral lists this ribosomal RNA (345 nucleotides) under uncultured bacterium. RNAcentral's name for it is "bacterial SSU rRNA". It matches the Rfam family "Bacterial small subunit ribosomal RNA", at positions 173 to 507 of the family's 1533-position model. The record is from RNAcentral.